UACGAAGGGGGCUAGCGUUGCUCGGAAUCACUGGGCGUAAAGGGUGCGUAGGCGGGUCUUUAAGUCAGGGGGGAAAUCCUGGAGCUCAACUCCAGAACUGCCUUUGAUACUGAAGAUCUUGAGUGCGGGAGAGGUGAGUGGAACUGCGAGUGUAGAGGUGAAAUUCGUAGAUAUUCGCAAGAACACCCGUGGCGAAAGCGGCUCUCUGGGACGGUACUGACGCUGAGACGCGAAAGCGUGGGGAGCAAACAGG
RNAcentral lists this ribosomal RNA (253 nucleotides) under uncultured bacterium. Its description in RNAcentral is "partial 16S ribosomal RNA". It matches the Rfam family "Bacterial small subunit ribosomal RNA", at positions 524 to 776 of the family's 1533-position model. The record is from RNAcentral.